GAUGAACGCUGGCGGCGUGCCUAAUACAUGCAAGUCGAGCGAACGGACGAGAAGCUUGCUUUUCUGAUGUUAGCGGCGGACGGGUGAGUAACACGUGGAUAACCUACCUAUAAGACUGGGAUAACUUCGGGAAACCGGAGCUAAUACCGGAUAAUAUUUUGAACCGCAUGGUUCAAAAGUGAAAGACGGUCUUGCUGUCACUUAUAGAUGGAUCCGCGCUGCAUUAGCUAGUUGGUAAGGUAACGGCUUACCAAGGCAACGAUGCAUAGCCGACCUGAGAGGGUGAUCGGCCACACUGGAACUGAGACACGGUCCAGACUCCUACGGGAGGCAGCAGUAGGGAAUCUUCCGCAAUGGGCGAAAGCCUGACGGAGCAACGCCGCGUGAGUGAUGAAGGUCUUCGGAUCGUAAAACUCUGUUAUUAGGGAAGAACAUAUGUGUAAGUAACUGUGCACAUCUUGACGGUACCUGAUCAGAAAGCCACGGCUAACUACGUG
This 497-nucleotide ribosomal RNA is filed under the name uncultured bacterium. RNAcentral's name for it is "partial 16S ribosomal RNA". It matches the Rfam family "Bacterial small subunit ribosomal RNA", at positions 28 to 507 of the family's 1533-position model. The record is from RNAcentral.